This 63-nucleotide transfer RNA is filed under the name Archivesica gigas. RNAcentral describes it as "tRNA-Leu". Lineage: Eukaryota; Metazoa; Mollusca; Bivalvia; Venerida; Vesicomyidae. The record is from RNAcentral.
ACUGGAUUAGCAGAUAUAAUGUAUUCAACUUAGGAUUGAAAGGAAAUUUUUAGUUAUCUAGUG